Molecule: ribosomal RNA, 446 nt
Filed under: Stygocapitella sp. 403_07
Lineage: Eukaryota; Metazoa; Annelida; Polychaeta; Parergodrilidae
Description: partial large subunit ribosomal RNA
Rfam family: Bacterial large subunit ribosomal RNA
Source: RNAcentral
CAUAGCCUAUAACUUAACUUUAGGUACAACCCUGCCCUCUGAAAUUUUAACAGCCGCGGUAUCCUAACCGUGCUAAGGUAGCAUAAUCAUUUGCCUAUUAAUUAUAGGCUAGCAUGAACGGGAUCACUCACUUAAAUUUAUUUUCACUACAAUUAAAAUUAAACUUUAAGUUAAAAUACUAAAUUUUUAAGAAAGACAAAAAGACCCUGAAAACUAUUAGAAGAUAAUUAGUUGGGGCAACUAUAGACCAUAAACAGCGUCUAUUAAAAUUCGAAUUUUAAAAUUCAAAGCACACAAGUUACUUCAGGGAUAACAGACUAAUUGUAUUAUUUAGACCUAAUAAAUAAUAAAGAUUGGCACCUCGAUGUUGGCUUAUAAUUCCUUCAUAUAGUAACAUAUAUUGAUGGCAGCUUGUUCAUCUGAUAAAUAUUUACAUGAGCUGAGUU